UACGAAGGGUGCUAGCGUUGUUCGGAAUCACUGGGCGUAAAGCGCGCGUAGGUGGCUUACCAAGUCAGAGGUGAAAGCCUGGAGCUCAACUCCAGAACUGCCUUUGAAACUGGUAGGCUUGAGUGUCGGAGGGGAUAGCGGAAUUGCUAAUGUAGAGGUGAAAUUCGUAGAUAUUAGCAGGAACACCGGUGGCGAAGGCGACUAACUGGACGUGUAUUGACGCUGAGGUAUGAAAGCGUGGGGAGCAAACAGG
RNAcentral lists this ribosomal RNA (253 nucleotides) under uncultured bacterium. RNAcentral's name for it is "partial 16S ribosomal RNA". It matches the Rfam family "Bacterial small subunit ribosomal RNA", at positions 524 to 776 of the family's 1533-position model. The record is from RNAcentral.